CCAGGGGGCAGGGCUGAGUGAGGGGAGCAGACUGAGUCUUCUUGCUCUGAAAGCCCUGAGGCUAAAGACCAGGGACAGAAAUGCAGAGGUGAAGAAAUGUGGAAGUCUCUUCUAGGUAAUUGUUCAGACUGACAUUUGACAAGCUCUAUGAGGAGCAUCUCAAAAGGAGGCCUUGGGACAGCACUACAGGAACGUGCAGAGCGUACAAUUGUGCAUGAUGAAGUGGCUGUGAAAUGAAUUAGCUGUAGCCCUGCAGCAUGCCGUGAGAGACUCUACAAGCCAGAUGUUUUGCCAGCAAAGAGGGAUCUUAGGAUUUUGGACUCAGUCAGAGCAGCUACAAGAGUCACAGUUGGAAAAUCUCACCAGGUCAAUCUG
Molecule: long non-coding RNA, 375 nt
Organism: Manacus vitellinus (golden-collared manakin)
Lineage: Eukaryota; Metazoa; Chordata; Aves; Passeriformes; Pipridae
Exons: 3
Source: RefSeq, a predicted model, not a curated record